GAUCAAGCAUGGGCAUUGGGAAAGUGUUUCUACUACAUGCAUACAUUUCACUGAUAAUCUCCAACAUUUGAAGGUAGUUCAAACUGAAAUUUUAAUGCCAUCAAACUUUAGCUUAUCAGGUAGCAUAAUUGACCCAUAGAGGGAAGUAGUAUCACAAGAACUAUUCUACAAUCAAUAUGGUAUAUUCAACAGCGAAAAUAGCAUACAGUUCACUGGCAAGGAAGAGAUCUCAUUAAAACUUAAUAAAAAGCAUAGGACAUAUAGCAGCCAAAACAAUUGCAUAGAUAAUAUCUCAGAUCAUUUAGUUUUAAUAUGUAGAGGCAUCUCAACGAGAAACUCCAAUGACAUGCGUUCACCAUGGCUUUCCUCAAACAUUUUAACUUACUGAUUUAGGAACAAAUGGUAUGAUGUCAUUUCUGCAGGGGAUAGGCGCUUCUCUCAAUG
Molecule: unclassified non-coding RNA, 444 nt
Filed under: Hevea brasiliensis (rubber tree)
Lineage: Eukaryota; Viridiplantae; Streptophyta; Magnoliopsida; Malpighiales; Euphorbiaceae
Source: RNAcentral